CUUCAGCGAACCGAGCCACAGCGGCCGGUCCUCGGGCCGGUCCUGGCCGUAGGUCGCGAUGAUCGCCUGCGCCUC
This 75-nucleotide antisense RNA is filed under the name Actinophytocola oryzae. RNAcentral's name for it is "ASpks TB sRNA". It matches the Rfam family "ASpks TB sRNA". Lineage: Bacteria; Bacillati; Actinomycetota; Actinomycetes; Pseudonocardiales; Pseudonocardiaceae. The record is from Rfam by way of RNAcentral.